Molecule: ribosomal RNA, 121 nt
Filed under: Enterobacter cloacae
Lineage: Bacteria; Pseudomonadati; Pseudomonadota; Gammaproteobacteria; Enterobacterales; Enterobacteriaceae
Also listed under: 5 other names
Description: partial 16S ribosomal RNA
Rfam family: Bacterial small subunit ribosomal RNA
Source: RNAcentral
UUAAAUUGAAGAGUUUGAUCAUGGCUCAGAUUGAACGCUGGCGGCAGGCCUAACACAUGCAAGUCGAACGGUAGCACAGAGAGCUUGCUCUCGGGUGACGAGUGGCGGACGGGUGAGUAAU